UCAUAAGCGGUACCGUAGUGACUAUAUCUGGGGCUUACAUGUUUUUGCUCUUCUGUGUGUUGUUGAGGCAAAUUCCUCAGAGGUGUGAUUUCUGGACCAAAGGGCCUGUAUACAUUCCUACUUCUUGUUCUAGGCUGCUGCUGUGGCUUCAUCGGGCUUCAAAAAGGGGAAGUGAAUAAACGGCAGGAGGAAUGCAGGCGUCUUGGGGUGGUGCCACUCAAGAACCUGGAAAAAGGGGGAAAUAAAAUUAAGGCUGCCUCCUGACGGUUUAAAUCAGAGUGUAGUGGGCCGAAACAGAGAUGUGCAAAGCCACCUGGGAGAGAUGAAUCUUGGACGGUCACUCAAGCAGUGCACAGUCUGGGUCCUAUUGGGAAACAGAAGCCGUCGAAGGGCGUCAGAUGUUGAGAUGUCAGCAUCUCAAAAUGGAGGGAGCCUGGAUCCACGAAUCACUGCAUAGACGAGAGUUGCCCUCAAGAACCGCCCGAUCCACAUUUGACUUUAUUUCUCCAAGGUCAGUGUCGCUGCCUGUUCUAUAGUGAUGAAUCUGAAGCAGAGUCCAAAAACUUGUUCAAGGACACUGAACAAAGAAGGCUGCCCGUGGGGAUCUAUAAAGCCCACAGGAGAGUUCUCAACAAAGACAAGAAAGGGAAGGGUUGGAGGAGAAAAGGAGUCAACUCUCCCAUCCUAUACAAGGUCAGGCUCCUGGGAUUCUUCUCUUACGAGACCUGACGAGCUAUCAAUAGCCUGAAUAUGACAAGGAUCCAAGUCACCUCUGCUCGUGGUUAUUUGUCAUCCUCCGUUCCUUGCUGUGGUUGAGGGCUCAUGUAGCACUCCCCCCCUGUGAAACUCAGGCUGCUGAGACAGGGGACCAGCCUCAAAGCAAGAUUUCUCUGCAGGGCCUCUAGCUGCCUGACUUCAGGGCACCCCUCACCUUGUACUCUGUAUAGAUGUCCCUUGGAGCUGGGCAUUGAGGCAAGACUGUGGCCCUAUUCUUUACUGAUUCAUGCACUCAUUCAUUCAGAAAUAUUAAACACUGGCUAUUGCUUAGGAACUCUAUUGAUCUCGGAGGAUGGAGAAGGGGAUAAACCAGGUCAGUCCUAGUUAAUGGUGACAUACUGUCCACACCGGACCUCUUCGGAAACCUGGGAGUCGCUGUUGACUCUUCCUCCCCCUUAGCUACCACAUCGUGUUCAAACACCAAGCCUUAUCAAGUUUGCCUUUGAAAUAUUCAUCAUGCUCAUCUCUACUUCUGCAUCCCAGCUAGCACAGCCCUACUUUAGGUUUUCCAUACCCCCUUUUUUUUUUAUUAUUAUUGCCGUUCCCUCACAACUAGUCUGUCUGAUUUGGUCUCAUCCUCAUUAUUUGCUCCUCCCUACCUGAGCAAGAAAGACUCACCUAAAAUAUAUGUUUAAGUCACUCACUCAAACUUCAAAGGUUCCCUGUGGCCCAGCUAACAUGGCGUACAAAGUCCAUGUUCAUGCUUUGGCUUUUACCCCUCUCUCCAGCUCUGCCCCUUAGUAGGCUCUUGACCGCCAAAGUAAGAUUAUUCAGCCAUAUUGCCUUGGCUGACUCCAUGUCCUCUGGGGGGGCGGGGGUGAGUGUGCUGUCUCCUCUGUCUGUACAUCUCUUCUCCCACCUGUCACUUCUCUGACUUUGCUCCCUCCUCCCCACGUCCUUUGUAAUUCCUGCAUCAGGCUGAGUCCUCUCCACUCUUCAAGGCUUACUUUAGGGCCCAACCACUCCAGAAAACCUUUGUUACUUUCCUGACCACUCCACGACAGGUGCCUUUCCUCAGCGGGCCCACAGUAUCCUUCCCUCAUUGUUCUUAACACAUGGACUGACAAUUGUCAUCAGGGCCUUUUGCUCCACUGUAUUCUGGAAGGACUACUGAGAAGGACCAGAGUACUUAGCACAUGGUAGCUCCCGAUUCACUUGUUGAAUGAAUAAGCAAGUAAUUUCAACACAAUGGAGAAUAAGGGGGGGGGGGCUGGAGGGAGUGACUGACCCCAGCUGGAGAGAUCAGAGUGGCUCAAAAGAGGAGAUGACACAGGACUGCAUGUUAAAGGAAGCAGAGGAGCUUGUGGGUGGGGAGCAGUGAGAAAGCUACACUCCUAGUGCCCCACUAGCAAAAUGUUUGCGGCUUGUUGCUGUGACUUCAUGCUCUGCUGGCCUGGAAGUCUUAGGAUAAUGAUAAUGGA
Long non-coding RNA from Acinonyx jubatus (cheetah), 2198 nucleotides. RefSeq lists it as uncharacterized. The transcript is spliced from 4 exons. The record is from RefSeq and is a predicted model, not a curated record. Lineage: Eukaryota; Metazoa; Chordata; Mammalia; Carnivora; Felidae.